UACAGCCAAAAGUACAAGAUAGCACUCCAGGGACUUCCAAGUUGAACUUGGAAGUCCCUGGAGUGCUAUCUUGUACUUUUGGAUAUAUAUAUAA
Molecule: non-coding RNA, 94 nt
Organism: Pelobates cultripes (western spadefoot toad)
Lineage: Eukaryota; Metazoa; Chordata; Amphibia; Anura; Pelobatidae
Source: the annotation of a GenBank genome assembly